This 253-nucleotide ribosomal RNA is filed under the name uncultured bacterium. Its description in RNAcentral is "partial 16S ribosomal RNA". It matches the Rfam family "Bacterial small subunit ribosomal RNA", at positions 524 to 776 of the family's 1533-position model. The record is from RNAcentral.
UACAGAGGAUGCAAGCGUUAUCCGGAAUGAUUGGGCGUAAAGCGUCUGUAGGUGGCUUUUUAAGUCCGCCGUCAAAUCCCAGGGCUCAACUCUGGACAGGCGGUGGAAACUACCAAGCUGGAGUACGGUAGGGGCAGAGGGAAUUUCCGGUGGAGCGGUGAAAUGCGUAGAGAUCGGAAGGAACAUCAGUGGCGAAAGCGGCUUCCUGGACCAGUACCGACGUUCAGGCACGAAAGCGUGGGGAGCAAACAGG